ACCGGUAGAGGUCGCGUCUUUCAUCAGUAACCCGGGCCAGACCGCCAAGGUCGCCUACCCCGUGUGAAAGGGAUCGACGCCGAAGAGGAUCGCUUGGCAGGCGGCUCCUCUGGGCGCACAGCCGAAUAGGCUUGCGACUGUCAUCAUACAUUGUGAUGGAGCGCUAUG
Molecule: non-coding RNA, 168 nt
Filed under: Candidatus Anaerotruncus excrementipullorum
Lineage: Bacteria; Bacillati; Bacillota; Clostridia; Eubacteriales; Oscillospiraceae
Description: Lysine riboswitch
Rfam family: Lysine riboswitch aptamer
About the family: Riboswitches are metabolite binding domains within certain messenger RNAs that serve as precision sensors for their corresponding targets. Allosteric rearrangement of mRNA structure is mediated by ligand binding, and this results in modulation of gene expression.
Source: RNAcentral